AUUGUAUUAGUAUGUCCUUUUUGCAUACUUGAAAACUCCAGAAAGAAACUCCAAGUUCAGAUGUCUGUGAUCAUCCAAGUGGAACUGAAACUUGGGUCUUCUGACUUCUGGGUCAGUGUCUAUUCCAACAGGCUGCCUUCUCAGGAAGUGGAGGGGGAACAUACAAUCAGGCUCCUUAGCAUAAAGAAAAUGGGACUUGCAGGAUUGCUGUGAGGAAUAACAUCAUGCUGGGAUCCUGGAGGGAUGUUUUAGAUGCCAGGGGAGAAAGUGCCACUCCGAGCAGUCGUCUGCCUGGAUUACUGUGAACAAGAAACCAAAGACCAAACAUCUCCGUUUUCUCAGUCCAGGUUUCUGGUACCUGGGGAUUUCGUUCAAGUCGUGAUGCCUGAAGGACCAGAUGAUACACUGAGGAUAUGCAGCUUCAUGAUGUUUUACUUAGUGCUGUUGGAACAAAGUCAGCCAGAGAAGCUAUCUAUAUCUGAAAGAUGUCUUGGAUAUACAAUCUUAAAUUAACUCUUUUAUGCAUGUCUUAUUUUUAUUUCCAUAUUCUUUGUCUAUGUUCCUAACACCUCACAAAUUUCUCUCUAGAUCUCCCUGUAAGGUAGAGCUAAUUGGAAAACUUUCUUCCUCUAGUUACUCUGUAUUCAUUUACAUUUGUUUUUUUCUCAUUACAAUGCCAUUACUAUAAGGUUUGUAUCCUAUUGGCGGGGAAAAUGCUGGUUUAGCCCUAACCUCCUUCUUUGCCUCUGCUCGGCCACAGUCCUUCUGAUAUUUUGUUAAUUUCAGUUUUUUAAAGUUAAAAAUUUGUGAGCUAUUUCACAGUUGUGACUUCUUCUGUUUAUUCUCAUUCUCCUUCUCUCCCCUCAAGGUGUGGCUGUCUUAUAGUUUCUCCUGAAUUUAUGAAUUCAACUCACUGAUGCCUUCCCUUCCCUCUACAUCCUGGAUUUCUUCUCUGAUCAACAGUUUCCACUGAUCUGCAGGUUACAUGGGCCAUACAGAAUGAAUAAAGGAUUUUACACAAGAAUGAUAAAUGGUGAUAUUUGCACAGAAGGGAGCCUUCAAGCAACUGUGUGGAGGUUGGACUGGUGGAGAAUGAGACAAGAGGUCCUCUGGUUAUGCAGCUAUUGUAGUUUUUCAGGGGACCGCACUUGAUUCUCAGACUGAGGAGGAGAGAGAGAGACAAGACUGAAGCUGGAGGAGCAGCUGCUGGUCCACCCUGCUGCCAAGCCUUGGCAGCAGGUUCCUGGGGAAGCAGUAGGCACCUGGUUCACACAGGACCAGCACAGCUGGCCCAGCUUUUGACUGGCAGAGCGUGGCUUCCUUCGUCACCAAAGUGACUGGCCCUGUGAUCUUGCUACAGCCUGCUGAAACCGAGAGGGACACAGUGAAAGCAGUACACCUCAGCGGAGCAGGUGCAAGUCACAUUUCACUAAUGAACAAUGGGCACUUUGCAUACAGAGAGGCUUUGAUCUGAGAGCUAAAAAGCUCUUCUGUUGGACAGGAUGUUGGCUGAGGCAGGCAGCAGUGAGAAGCAUUGGGAAGGAUACUUUAUCUAAGAAGGUCAGUGCAAGAGCAAUCGUCAAAUAAUACUUGCAGAGUCAAACACUCCCAUUCUCAGAUAUUUCCUUGGGAGAAAGCAAUGAGUUUGUGGAAUUCUUUUAGUUGAUUCUAUAUAUGGACCAUCCCCCAGAUGAAUAAAACAUUUUCUCUAUAUUAAACUCAAAUCUGUCUUCUACCCAUUGGUUUCAGUUUUGCCUUGUGAGUUUAUAUAGAACAAGUCUACUUGAGGAAGAGGGUGUCCAUGUGAGAAUCUUCCAUAUGUUUGAAGACUACUCUCAUGUCUUCAAGGAAA
Molecule: long non-coding RNA, 1852 nt
Organism: Equus asinus (donkey)
Lineage: Eukaryota; Metazoa; Chordata; Mammalia; Perissodactyla; Equidae
Source: Ensembl